Molecule: ribosomal RNA, 495 nt
Filed under: uncultured bacterium
Lineage: Bacteria
Description: bacterial SSU rRNA
Rfam family: Bacterial small subunit ribosomal RNA
Source: RNAcentral
GAUCAUGGCUCGAGGACGAACGCUGGCGGCGUGCCUAACACAUGCAAGUCGAGCGGGGACAGCGGAGUAGCAAUACGAAGCUGUUCUAGCGGCGGACGGGUGAGUAACGCGUGAGCAACCUGUCCCAGUCAGGGGGAUAACGAGCCGAAAGGCUCCCUAAUACCGCAUGAGACCACAGCGCCACAUGGCGCAGGGGGUCAAAGGAGAAAUCCGGACUGGGGUGGGCUCGCGUCUGAUUAGCUAGUUGGUGAGGUAAAGGCCCACCAAGGCGACGAUCAGUAGCCGACCUGAGAGGGUGAUCGGCCACAUUGGAACUGAGACACGGUCCAACUCCUACGGGAGGCAGCAGUGGGGAAUAUUGGGCAAUGGGGGAAACCCUGACCCAGCAACGCCGCGUGAAGGAAGAAGGUUUUCGGAUCGUAAACUUCUAUCCUUGGUGAAGAUAAUGACGGUAGCCAAGAAGGAAGCCCCGGCUAACUACGUGCCAGCCGCCGC